CCUACGGGAGGCAGCAGUGGGGAAUAUUGGGCAAUGGGCGCAAGCCUGACCCAGCAACGCCGCGUGAAGGAAGAAGGCUUUCGGGUUGUAAACUUCUUUUGUCAGGGACGAAGCAAGUGACGGUACCUGACAAAUAAGCCACGGCUAACUCCGUGCCGGCAGCCGCGUUAAUACGUAGGUGGCAAGCGUUAUCCGGAUUUACUGGGGGUAAAGGGAGUGUAGGCGGGACUGCAAGUCAGAUGUGAAAACCACGGGCUCAACCGGUGGCCUGCAUUUGAAACUGCAGUGCUUGAGUACUGGAGAGGCAGACGGAAUUCCUAGUGUAGCGGUGAAAUGCGUAGAUAUUAGGAGGAACACCAGUGGCGAAGGCGGUCUGCUGGACAGCAACUGACGCUGAGGCGCGAAAGCGUGGGGAGCAAACAGGAUUAGAUACCCUAGUAGUC
RNAcentral lists this ribosomal RNA (443 nucleotides) under uncultured bacterium. RNAcentral's name for it is "partial 16S ribosomal RNA". It matches the Rfam family "Bacterial small subunit ribosomal RNA", at positions 338 to 795 of the family's 1533-position model. The record is from RNAcentral.